CAUGUUUGUAUUUUAAUUGACAUAACACGGAAUUAAAUUAUGUAUGAUAAUGUUAAUUUAGUAUAUAGCACCGUUAAAUGACUGACCAUGUUAUAACACGGAUGAAAGUACAGAACAGUAAAUGGGCUAUGUCGCAGAUUUUUCUAAAAUUUUGCAUACAACCUUGGCUCGGUAAACUACAACUCAAAAUCGAAAAAAAUAAUGCCUUUAUAACUUU
This 217-nucleotide long non-coding RNA is filed under the name Mytilus galloprovincialis (Mediterranean mussel). Lineage: Eukaryota; Metazoa; Mollusca; Bivalvia; Mytilida; Mytilidae. The record is from RNAcentral.